RNAcentral lists this ribosomal RNA (526 nucleotides) under uncultured archaeon. Its description in RNAcentral is "bacterial SSU rRNA". It matches the Rfam family "Archaeal small subunit ribosomal RNA", at positions 1 to 507 of the family's 1478-position model. The record is from RNAcentral.
UUCCGGUUGAUCCUGCCGGACCCCACUGCUAUCGAGAUGGGACUAAGGUAUGCUAGUCGAACGACCAGAACUAUGUCUGGGAGUGGCACACUGCUCAGUAACACGUAGCUAACCUACCCUUAGGACGUGGAUACCCCCGAGAAAUUGGGGUUAAUCCGCGAUAGAUGUAAUGUCCUGGAAUGGUAUUACGUCCAAAGGUAUCCCAUACAUGUUUGGUAUACGCCUAAGGAUGGGGCUGCGGCCGAUCAGGCUGUUGGUGAGGUAAUGGCUCACCAAACCUUUGACCGGUAUGGGCCAUGAGAGUGGUAGCCCAGAGAUGGACACUGAGACAAGGGUCCAGGCCCUACGGGGCGCAGCAGGCGCGAAACCUCCUCAAUGCACUAACGUGCGAAGGGGUUACCUCGAGUGCCACCUGAAGAAGGUGGCUUUUCCUUGGUCUAAAAAGCCUAGGGAAUAAGAGGGGGGCAAGACUGGUGUCAGCCGCCGCGGUAACACCAGCCCCUCGAGUGGUGGGGAUGAUUAUUUG